RNAcentral lists this ribosomal RNA (430 nucleotides) under uncultured bacterium. RNAcentral describes it as "bacterial SSU rRNA". It matches the Rfam family "Bacterial small subunit ribosomal RNA", at positions 355 to 776 of the family's 1533-position model. The record is from RNAcentral.
UCGAGAGGCUUCCGCAAUGGGGGAAACCCUGACGGAGCGACGCCGCGUGGGUGAGGAAGGUCUUCGGAUCGUAAAACCCUGUCAGGAGGGACGAAAACCGGAUUGGUUAAUACCCUUUCCGCUUGACGGUACCUCCAGAGGAAGCUCCGGCUAACUCCGUGCCAGCAGCCGCGGUAACACGGAGGGAGCAAACGUUGUUCGGAAUUACUGGGCGUAAAGGGCGUGUAGGCUGUUCUCUAAGUCGGGGGUGAAAUCCAGUGGCUCAACCAUUGGCCUGCCUUCGAAACUGGGGAACUUGAGGCCGUGAGAGGAAAGCGGAAUUCCUGGUGUAUCGGUGAAAUGAGUUGAUAUCAGGAGGAACAUCAGUGGCGAAGGCGGCUUUCUGGCGCGGUUCUGACGCUGAGGCGCGAAAGCAUGGGGAGCAAACGGG